AGCAGCCGCGGUAAUUCCAGCUCCAAUAGCGUAUAUUAAAGUUGUUGCAGUUAAAAAGCUCGUAGUUGAAUUUCGGGGUCUGUCCGUCGGUCGGGCUUUACGGUCCGUACUGGUGCGAUAGGUUCCUACCUUCUGAAUAACCUUCAUGCCAUUAAUUUGGUGCGUUGGGGAAGCAGAGCUAUUACCUUGAAAAAAUUAGAGUGCUUAAAGCAGGCUAGUGCUUGAAUAGAUUAGCAUGGAAUAAUAAAAUAGGACGGCAUGGUUCUAUUUUGUUGGUUUCUAGGAUCACCGUAAUGAUUAAUAGGGAUAGUUGGGGGCAUUAGUAUUCAAUUGUCAGAGGUGAAAUUCUUGGAUUUAUUGAAGACUGACUUCUGCGAAAGCAUUUGCCAAGGAUGUUUUCAUUAAUCAAGAACGAAAGUUAGGGGAUCGAAGACGAUCAGAUACCGUCGUAGUCUUAACCAUAAACUAUGCCGACUAGGGAUCGGACGAUGUUAAUUUUUU
This 501-nucleotide ribosomal RNA is filed under the name uncultured Acaulospora. Its description in RNAcentral is "SSU rRNA". It matches the Rfam family "Eukaryotic small subunit ribosomal RNA", at positions 569 to 1072 of the family's 1831-position model. Lineage: Eukaryota; Fungi; Glomeromycota; Glomeromycetes; Diversisporales; Acaulosporaceae. The record is from RNAcentral.